RNAcentral lists this long non-coding RNA (5755 nucleotides) under Brassica napus (rape). Its description in RNAcentral is "long non-coding RNA (BNAP_LNC014745)". The record is from RNAcentral. Lineage: Eukaryota; Viridiplantae; Streptophyta; Magnoliopsida; Brassicales; Brassicaceae.
AAAUUUUGUCUUUACCCGUUUACGCAAUGGUUCGUUUGUGGACGUAAACCAUAUAGAGUUUUUUUUUUAUAUGCCGGUGUGUAGGUGAAGAUGCGGACAUCAAACUAUAAUACCUAUUCCGAAGGCUCCCAUGUGAUGGAAUACGGUAACAACAGUAUUAAGUCGGAGAAGCUUUAUAAUUAUACCAAGGAUUCGAUCCAGCCACUGUUAAUCUCCCUCCUAACGAGUUACCGGUGAAGUCACCUGUGGGAGUUGUGAACCAACGUGACGCAGACCUUCUAUUCCUUUGGCACAUGGUAUUGGUCUAUCAUGUUUUGCUUAUUUUCGGUUAUUUAAAUCGACUGUAACGAUUUGGUUUUGUUUAAACCAUAUUGCCUUUGGGGUUUAAAGUACCAAACAUCAGAAGAUGGGUCAAGGAAGGAUGAGAUAUUGAAGGAAUUAACCGAGACAACAAGGCACAGAAAACAUGUAGACACAAGUGUGGAAUUGAUAGGCACGGUUCUCUUUGGUCCCUUGACUAAUGUUCUUAACUCGGUCAGAGAACCCGGAUUGCCAUUGGUCGACGAUUGGGAAUGUCUUAAGUCAAUGGUAAGAGUUUCUCAUUCCUUUCUUGUUCAUACUUUUAUUGUUCCACUUUACUUAAUACUUGAAAUUUCUUAGGUACGUAUAUUUGAGAUGCAUUGUGGAUGGCUAACGCAAUACGGGAUGAAACAUAUGAGAGCGUUUGCAAACAUUUGUAACAACGGUGUCUCAAAGGAGCUAAUGGAGGAAGCUUCCGCUGCUGCAUGCGGUGGUUAUGAGGCCCGCUUCAUGUCGCACCCCUCUGUUGUGGGCUAUAGCGCUUAAAAGUCAUGAUCUUUAAGUGUUUUCAAGUAAUCAUGUUAGGAUAGUUGUAUGUUAAUACCGAAAAUGCGUAACAAUAAGGUAUUUCCUCCUCGUUUUUCGUUGUUUAAUUUUGUGUAGGGUUUUGUAGUUCCUUUUUUUUUUUUGAGUUUUGUAGUUCCUUUCCCGAUAAUGUCAUCAACAUAUAUUUUUGACAGACAAUACUUUUAAGUAGAUGGUAACGAGUCUUUUGUCUCUUUACAAAAUUUUAGACUAGAGCCUUUAAGACUAAAGAGAAAUCUGAGUAUAAAAUCUCAUGAUUUGAGCAAAUAAUCCAUUUUGAAUCAUUCUAUUUUUGUUUCGUAAGCUUUGAAGCCGUUUUGGUGAUUACUAACACUGAAAUAGUGAUGGAAAAUCCGAGAAAUAGUGAACCAUAAACUGAACCGAGAUUAUCAUAAACCAAUUUCCUUUAGUAAAAAUUUUAAAAGAUGAAAUUUCCAAGUAAACCUAAAUUAUUUCGUUAACCACCCGAUGUGCACAUCACCGAUGAUAGUUGUUCGGUUUAAUAUCAAAGCAUAAACCGGUUUUGGUUUCCCAAAUUCCCGGUUACCAUUCCAUCUCUCUCUCUCUCUCUCUCCAUAAACAUGUCUCGUUUUAGGAUUCGGAAUCAGAGAGACAAUCGCAAAACGAUGCAGAGAUCGAUUGCGAUGACGGCGAAGACAUUGCUUCAUCGGAAUCUUUUCGAAAAUAGUAAACGCAAAAGCGCUCUCCCUUCUCUCGGUUGCUGGGUACGAGCUUUCUCCAGCGUGAUUGAUCUCCGUGAGAGACUGAGCAGAAACCGUCGUCGUGAUAUCAAACUAGAUGACGCUAUCGAUUUGUUCAACGACAUGGCCAAAUCUCGCCCCUUCCCUUCAAUCAUCGAUCUCAAUAAACUGUUGAACGCCAUUAUCAAACUGAAGAAGUACGAGGUCGUCAUCUCUCUGUGGAAAAAGAUGGAAGCUGUAUGGAUUCGAAAUGAUCUCUACAUGUUCAAUACAUUGAUUAACUGCCUAAGUAGCUGGUUUCUGUUGACGUGAAGAGAAUAAAGAGCAAGACUAAAAACAUGAAGAACCUGAUUGAUCAUGGACAGAAAAUCAUGGACAAGAAAUCAUGGACAGGAAAACUGAAGCAACUAAAGGUGUGAGACUAAUUUAAAUAUCUUGCCUGAAGUCUUGGACGAAUUUAAAUAAGUGGAAGCAACUGGAUAGAGCUAUUGGAGUGUGGAAACAAACCAAAGUAACAUGAUAUGCUAAGGAAGGAAAAGAGAAGAGAGUUGUCGCUAUCCGAAAGUGAUUUCGCAAGAUCUGGUCUUCAUAAGUUUAUUCAUCUUCAUUUGUUUGUUCAUUCUCAUUGUCUUAUUCUCUUUGCUAAAUCUAUUUAUGUAACUAUUGUAUACAUUAAAUCUAUCUAAGGAAAAAUGUUCCUCAAAUAUUCUUGUCUCUCUCUCUUGGAUUUCCUCACAUAUCUCUCUUAGUUCUUCCCCAAAAUCUCUCAAAUAAUUCUCAUAAACUCUCAUUAAUUUUCAUAGAUUUUCAUGGUAUCAGAGCCACAAGCUCUUGAAACCUAAAUCUCUUCCGCAAAUUGCUCUAGUUUUAUUUCUCUUUUCCUCUUUAAAAUCUCUUAUCAUUCACACCAGUCUCUCUCCUCUGUUCUUGAACUGUUCUUCAUUUUUUUCCAAUUCUGUUCUUGUGAUUCUUGAUGGAUUCAGGAGAAAACUCAAGAAUAGUGGUGAUUCAAGUUACUCUUAAAGGAGCUAACUAUCUACAUUGGGCAAGGCUUGCCAAGACAGCUCUUGGAGGCAGAGGGCUUUGGGAGAUUGUUGAAGAAGGCAGGCCACAAAAGAAGACUAUCCUAGGCGAGGAUGACAAAGAGGUUGUUCUUGCUGAUGCUGAUGCCAAGAAGAAAUGUCAAGAGGACCAGUUAGUGUUGUCCAUUCUUCAGCACAGUCUUGACCCCUCACUUCAGGAAGGUUACUCCUUUUGUGAAACUUCCAAGGAGCUGUGGGAUACACUUCAGAAGGUAUAUGGAAACAAUUCCAACAUCAGUAGAGUCUUUGAAGUCAAGAGGGAUAUCAAUACUCUUAGUCAAGAGGACAAUGAUUUUGUUAAACAUUUUAGGAAGUUCAGAUCCUUGUGGGCUGAACUUGAGAUGCUCAGGCCAGCAACUAUUGAUCCUGAUGUGCUUAAUCAAAGGAGAGAGCAAGACAAGGUCUUUGCUUUGCUGCUUACCCUUCAUCCAAGCUAUGGUGACCUCAUCAAGCACAUCCUAAGAAAUAAGGAGCUACCUUCUCUAGAUGAGUUAUGCUCUGAGAUUCACAAGGAGCAAGGCUCAGUUGGUUUCUUUGGAGGAGGAAAGAAAGAUCUGGUGCUUGCAAACCAAGCUGAUGGAGCAGCAAACAAAAGCUCUUACAAAGCUGAAGACAAGAAGGUGUGGAUUUGUGAUCAUUGCAAGAAGAAAGGACAAGUGCUGGAUACUCCAUCCCCAUCUCAAGCCACAAAAGUUCAAGACAGGUUACAAUGAUGCCAAAGCAAACUUCUCUGGUGAUAUUGGUGUGCCAUCUAUACAAGGCAGCAUGCGCCAGACCAAUGAAGCUUGUGAGAACAAAGGGGGAGCUUCCAGGAGUGGCUCAACCUUAAGGAACACUCAAGAUGAGACCAUCAGGAGAUGUGAUAUUGAGACUCUCAUCAAACUCCUUAAGGAUAACUCUGGUAACUUACUUGGUACCUCUUUACAUGCUACUGCUUGUGGAACUUCCUUGAAUGGGAUAACUAAAUUUAAUUUGGCAAAACCUUUAGUUAUAGAUUCAGGAGCUAGUCACCACAUGAUCAGUGAUUUAAAAUUGAUUAAAAACAUUGUCCCUGCCUUAGGAAAUGUUACAAUAGCUAAUGGUGAAAGAGUACCAAUUAAAGGAGUAGGUGAUCUUAGGUUGUUUAACAAAGAUUCUAAGGCUUUCUAUAUGCCUAGCUUCACCUCAAACUUGUUAUCAUUUAAAAGAGCUACUAAUGACUUGAAUUGCAGUGUUACUUUCACUCCUAAUGAUGUCUACUUUCAGGAUAUUGAAACUAGUAGGUUGCUUGGCAAAGGUGUCACUAAGAGAGACUUGUACUUGCUUGAAAAUACUAAGCUUGCUGCCGAUUUAUCCCAUGCUUUAAAUUCUAUUUCUGAUUUCCCUAAAGAUAUAUUGUGGCAUGCUAGAUUAGGAUAUCCCCAUUCUAGAGCUUUAAACAUCAUGUUGCCUAGUAUUUCUUUUAAGAGUGAUUGUGAGGCUUGUAUCUUAGGCAAACAUUGCAAAUCUGUUUUCUCUAGAUCAAGUACUAUUUAUGAAAAUUGCUUUGACUUGAUUCACUCUGAUGUAUGGACUGCCCCAUGUUUAUCUAGAGAGCAUCAUAAGUAUUUUGUGACUUUUAUAGAUGAAAAAUCAAAAUAUACUUGGAUCACACUGAUGCAAUCUAAAGAUAGGGUCUUAGAAGCUUUCAUAAAUUUUCAAAAUUAUGUAUCUAACCAUUUCAAUGCCAAGAUAAAAAUUUUGAGAUCAAAUAAUGGAGGAGAAUACACAAGCAUUGCUUUUAAACAACACUCGGCCAAAUAUGGAAUGAUCCAUCAAACUAGCUGUCCAUACACCCCACAACAAAAUGGAGUAGCUGAGAGGAAAAAUAGACAUCUCAUGGAGGUUGCAAGAAGUAUGAUGUUCCAUACAAGCAUGCCCAAAAGCUAUUGGGGGAGAUGAUGUCCUUACUGCUCACAACUUAAAGAAAGAGACUGUAAAGCAACAAUACCAAACGGUAAAUGAAAUUUUGUCUUUACCCGUUUACGCAAUGGUUCGUUUGUGGACGUAAACCAUAUAGAGUUUUUUUUUUUUAUGCCGGUGUGUAGGUGAAGAUGCGGACAUCAAACUAUAAUACCUAUUCCGAAGGCUCCCAUGUGAUGGAAUACGGUAACAACAGUAUUAAGUCGGAGAAGCUUUAUCUAUACCAAGGAUUCGAUCCAGCCACUGUUAAUCUCCCUCGUAACGAGUUACCGGUGAAGUCACCUGUGGGAGUUGUGAACCAACGUGACGCAGACCUUCUAUUCCUUUGGCACAUGGUAUUGGUCUAUCAUGUUUUGCUUAUUUUCGGUUAUUUAAAUCGACUGUAACGAUUUGGUUUUGUUUAAACCAUAUUGCCUUUGGGGUUUAACAGUACCAAACAUCUGAAGAUGGGUCAAGGAAGGAUGAGAUAUUGAAGGAAUUAACCGAGACAACAAGGCACAGAAAACAUGUAGACACAAGUGUGGAAUUGAUAGGCACGGUUCUCUUUGGUCCCUUGACUAAUGUUCUUAACUCGGUCAGAGAACCCGGAUUGCCAUUGGUCGACGAUUGGGAAUGUCUUAAGUCAAUGGUAAGAGUUUCUCAUUCCUUUCUUGUUCAUACUUUUAUUGUUCCACUUUACUUAAUACUUGAAAUUUCUUAGGUACGUAUAUUUGAGAUGCAUUGUGGAUGGCUAACGCAAUACGGGAUGAAACAUAUGAGAGCGUUUGCAAACAUUUGUAACAACGGUGUCUCAAAGGAGCUAAUGGAGGAAGCUUCCGCUGCUGCAUGCGGUGGUUAUGAGGCCCGCUUCAUGUCGCACCCCUCUGUUGUGGGCUAUAGCGCUUAAAAGUCAUGAUCUUUAAGUGUUUUCAAGUAAUCAUGUUAGGAUAGUUGUAUGUUAAUACCGAAAAUGCGUAACAAUAAGGUAUUUCCUCCUCGUUUUUCGUUGUUUAAUUUUGUGUAGGGUUUUGUAGUUCCUUUUUUUUUUUUGAGUUUUGUAGUUCCUUUCCCGAUAAUGUCAUCAACAUAUAUUUUUGACAGACAAUACUUUUAAGUAGAUGGUAACGAGUCUUUUGUCUCUUUACAAAAUUUUAGACUAGAGCCUUU